UACGAGUGCCUCAAGCGUUAUCCGGAAUCAUUGGGCGUAAAGGGUGUGUAGGUGGUCUUGUUAGUCUUCUGUCAAAUUCUUCGGCUUAACCGGGGGUCCGCGGAGGAAACGGCAAGACUCGAGGGUGCGAGGGGUGAAUGGAACUCAUAGUGUAGGGGUGAAAUCCGUUGAUAUUAUGGGGAACACCAAAAGCGAAGGCAAUUCACUGGCGCAUUCCUGACACUGAAACACGAAAGCGUGGGUAGCGAAUGGG
RNAcentral lists this ribosomal RNA (253 nucleotides) under uncultured bacterium. RNAcentral's name for it is "partial 16S ribosomal RNA". It matches the Rfam family "Bacterial small subunit ribosomal RNA", at positions 524 to 776 of the family's 1533-position model. The record is from RNAcentral.